UCUUCAUAGCUCUGUUUUUUCUGUCUUUUACGUUGUUGUUUUCUGUUUUUUCUGAAUCAAAUGUUUACUCGAAGGAAAAAUAUAAAUUUCGAAGGUGUUGAGCUCCUAAAUUGACUCUGCCUAUUGCCCAUCGACACCUGCUGACUGUCUGUUGUCGCCUUGGACGAAGCGGAAAAUUCUUUAGUCAAAUCGUCAAAAGCUUCGACUGGAAAAUCAGCUUAAAUGUCUAAAAAUACCGAAAAUUACUCGCAAAUGGGUGCUAGAAGAGAAAUCAGCGUAAUUUUCCGACCACCUCUUGUUCCACCGGGCGUCUGAUAGUUGAACUGAGACCCAGUGAUUAGGCAAAAAAAGUUCCGUAGAUUUGUGCGGCUUCAAACGCACACAUGUAUAUGUGUAUAUGUACAUAUAUGACAGCUUAUUGGUACAUAUGUAUGUGUGACUGUUUCGGAAAAGUUUGGCAACUUCUAAAGUACAUCUAAAUCUCGCAGCGAAAGGUGCCAACAUUAUCAAAAUGUGAUUGCGUAAACGACCAGAAACAAAUACAGCAAACAGACGUACACAACAAUAACAACAACAAUACACACACAAUUCAGCCAGUGUGGGCCAGUGCCGGCGCUGAGGGUUGAAAAGCCAUUGGGUAUUUGAUUUGUUUUGUUCAAUGUUCUUCAGAUAAAAGUAAGAAGUUUAUAUCUUCCACGGCAUAACGGCAUAUCGGCUCUUAGUCACUGUCAGCAGCAAAUCUUCAAUUUUAUAUAAGACAACACAAUAAAUUUCGGCGGAAAAAUUUGUUUGCUUUACGAUUUGUUUAGGUGAAAAAUCUAGUACUUUUCCAUGCCGCCCAAACACUUGACGAAAUGCUACUCAGGUGGACGCACCGCCGAGGCCUAGACGCUGCGCUUGUAUGAACUAUUUCGCAGGGCAGCGUGUUUUUUUCCAGUUGGAAUGGUCGGCAAUUAUGAGGUGUGAUUGCGUCCGAUGCGCGAACGAUGAGUGGAUAUGGUCUCCAGCGGGGCGCCGCGCAUAUCUCAAAUGAUUUUAUCAUUGAUCAUCAAUCCACGAAAAUUAACAAAGAAUCUAGUGAACGAGGACAACAAAA
Long non-coding RNA from Ceratitis capitata (Mediterranean fruit fly), 1096 nucleotides. RefSeq lists it as uncharacterized. The transcript is spliced from 5 exons. Lineage: Eukaryota; Metazoa; Arthropoda; Insecta; Diptera; Tephritidae. The record is from RefSeq and is a predicted model, not a curated record.